Molecule: RNA transcript, 3191 nt
Organism: Abrus precatorius (Indian licorice)
Lineage: Eukaryota; Viridiplantae; Streptophyta; Magnoliopsida; Fabales; Fabaceae
Exons: 5
Source: RefSeq, a predicted model, not a curated record
CUGUCUCAGCCUUUUGUGACUUUUCUUACGUCCUACUCAUUCCUCCCACACACCACGGCGUCAUUUAGCAACCAACCAUUCUCAUUUCUUGUCAUCUCUCUCACUAGCACCUUUUCCCUUCUUCCUCCUUUCAUUAUUUUCUCCACUACUCACUUCACAGACACGUUCUAGCUGAAUAUUCAAGAGGUUUUCAUGAUUGGAUAGGACAUAGGAAGUUGCUUAUCUAAUUAUUUAUGCCUCUGUACUGAUACAUGAUUGUGUCUUGAAUCGUGAACUUGUGAUUAAGAGGGGCUGCAUAGGACAUUUGUUAAAUUUUGGAAGAAGAUGGCUGAAAGGAAAUUGAAUAUUAAUGCCCCUCUCAUGUCUGUGAGACGCUCUUCUGCUACACCACCAUCAUUGAUUGAAGCAAAGAAGAAGAUAUUAGAGAAACGUCACACUCUUCCUUACUAUAAACAAGACAUGACUAUGGAUCAGGUAACUGAACCCGUUGCAGUGCCUUUCAAUUGGGAGCAUAUCCCUGGGAGACGCAAGGGUAAUGGUGGAUCCGAACCUCAGGUUCCUAAGGCUACUUCAAUCACUCCAAGCCCGAGGCUUCCCCCUGGAAAAUCUACCAAUUCUCCCAAACAUCCACUGGAAAAGGAAACUAAAGCUGCAAGUAAAUUUGAGUCCUCGAAUAAAUCGAAGUCUUUAAAUGUCAGUGUGGCUAAAAUAGACUGUGAGAGAGAAAGAAAAGCUGAGAAAAUAGUUGAAAUUAGAAGGUCCAACGUGGAGGAAGAUGUUGAUGAUGAUGUUUACUCCGAUGCCCUUGAAACACUGUCACCUACAGAAUCAUUCUCCCUGAACUGUAGCGUUAGUGGUGUAAGCGGAGAGAAUUUGGAAGCAAAGAAGUUUGGAACGUUUUCCACAGAUGAACAAACCCGAGACUUCAUGAUGAGCCGUUUCUUGCCUGCUGCAAAGGCUAUGACAUUACAGCCUCCUCAAUAUGCUUCAAAAAAGCAAUCUGUACUAGUAGAACAACAACCUAGAGAUGUUAGCAAAUUAGUUCGUGAGGAAAAGAAGCACUUGUAUAAUAGACUUACCACUGAUAUUAUACCAUAUACUGGCCCAAGUCAAGAGGAAGAAAGUGAAGAUGAAGGUGAUGAUUAUGACAACUCUGCGAAUAUCUCAGCCAAAGGUUGCGGGUUGUUACCUCAGUUACAUAUUAGGAAUUCAUUGUGCUUAUUGAAUCCUGUGGCUGGGAUGAAAAUGAAGAAUCAGGUCCCUUUGUCUUUAGUCUCUGAAGUUGGAAAACCAAACAAAAGCUCCCAUAUUAGAUCUUUUAGCCCGGUUCCUGCUGUAAAGAAGGCUUGGGAUGCUAUUCACAAGAACAAAUCAGGCUCUGGGGCGUCAUCACCUGACAUGCUAGAGGGUAGAAAAAAAAUGAAUAGUGAAUCAAACAGAUUUGCUUACUCAGGUGAGUUGCUACCAGGUAGGCUUUCUCCCUUUCGUCGUUCAAGAGCUGCUGCUACCGGUAUAUCUCCCUGUCGAAGUAAACCUCAAUCUCCCUUUCGUGGAACCAAGUUGCUUGGUGAUUCUAAAGAGGCUGAAAACUGUAAGUCUAGCAAGUUGAAAUUCUACAGCGGUGCGCUGCCACUUGGGAAUGUUCAAGAUGUGCUAUCCCAAGGAGCAAAAAGAAGUUCAUAUUCAGGGAACCUUACAUUUGAAAAGACUUUGUACAUAGAUACUGCAAGUACAGUCAAAUUUUCAUCUUCAAAUUUAAGUUCUGUAGAUAACAAACGGAGGGUAGAUACCGUGGCUGAAGACUUAGACAGAAGAAAGGGGAAAGGAAGUAAUUCCACCUUAGAAUCUUCUCAGGAUAAAACACGUGUACAAACUAUGGAAGAAAAGGACACAUUUGAUUCUCAAGUUUUAAGUUCUAUUGAUUCCAAUCCACCAACUUUGUACAGUAUUUUAAAUCUCACAGCCAAAGAAGACAAAGAUGAAGGAUUGAUAACUGAUCAAAAUAUUAACCAAGAACCCAUGUCCUUGCCACUUGUGCAGGGGACAUUUGCUGAAGAUUCAAACACUGACACCCAGCAAAUUGUGUUAGCAAAUGGUUUAGGAAAAGGUGGUGCUGAAUCUGCUGUGUCUCCUCUUCCCCCACCAUUGCCAAAAUCACCUUCCGAGUCAUGGCUUUGGCGUGCCUUGCCUUUAGUUUCUGUGAAGAAUUCUUUUCUGCACUCAAAUCAAGGUACUCAAUCCCAUGCUAAAAGGCAGGAUUCUAAUACAGCAUCCGGAAAUAUCAAGUGGGAAACAAUAGUAAAAACUUCGAAUUUGCAUCAUGAUCACGUACGCUAUUCUCAGGAAUUACCCACGCAUAAAUCUCAGCACUCAAAAUCUUAGAGAUGAAACUCAGUAACAUGUUAUGGUCCAAGCUUUUUGUGUCCUCUUUUUAGUCAAGCUUAAGAAAAAUCAAUAAAAGCAAAGCUUCUUUGUGACAUGUGGCACUUUCGGUGGAUUCAAGAUUUCUUAACCUGCCAAGAGAAAGUGUACAUCGGUUAGAACUGUGUGCCCUUUCAUCAUGUUGUUUUAGUCUUCUCCGCUUCUUUCUGCUUAAUCAGAGGAAUGAUUCUUUAGGUUCCCUCACCUGAUGGUAGUCUCAAUCUUCAGGUAUCAGCAUUUUUUAUGUCAACUGACACAAGUGAUUACUGUCAUCAAUGCUUUAUUGAUUGUUCUCCAUUUUCUUUAUACAAAUAAAAAGAAUUGUUCAAAAAUCAAAGUAUUUGGUCUGUUUUUCCUCAUCACUUUCAGAAGCCUAUGUCCAAGUAUGUAAAUCAGAUUAGUUCUGAAUUGAGAUGAAUUUCAAGUUCUCAUGCAUUUGGGGUAUUUCUUAGGUGAUGCUGCUAGCAAAACCUAGCACAGAGACAGGACAAAGUAACUGUCAUAAAUUGCAAGUUAACUUAUAUAAAUGAUCUUUCUCUUUCAUGUCUUAUGAUUACAAGUUACUUCGCAAUCGCAAGUCAUGCAAAAAUGGAUUAGUUAAUGUUAUCUGUAUCUCCAUCUUAAUGUCUGUCCCUGGUAUACUCUUGUGCCCUGUCACAUGAACAUUUUGAAAUUACAUUUGAAAGGACAGAGAUGAACGAGGUUUCGAAAAUAUGAACUCAAUGUUGUUUAUUUGGUUAAUGUUAAACAAUUAUACUAAGUCUUGGUUG